UGCUUUGGGUGUGUUGUUGGUUACAUGCUGAAGAAAGCUGCAAGGAAAGGACACUCCCGUUAUGAUGCUUUUGAAACUCAAAAAGGUAUCUUUAAAUAGCAAAGCAAAUGAGCUGGUGAACAGACCACAGGAGCACAAAUUUGGCUGCACCUCAGGGAUUGGUAAUAUUUAAAUUUUUGCAUUCACCUCCCAAUUAAUUUCCACAUCCUUCUCAUUUCCAAACUUCUCUUUACUCUGCUUGACCUAUUUGUGAGUCUGUUAUCCCCACUGCAGACCUCAGAUUUUGAUGUCCUUUUUAUGCCGAAAAUCUCUCUGCUCAAAAAAAAAAAGCCCACUUUAAAUUUCCUUAAAGAAGAUAAGAAAAGCAUCAAGCCCAUAGGCAUAUAUUAGGUUUCAACACAGUAGCUGAAAUGAAUGUUAUCUCUUGACCCACUGAUUUCCCUUUCCCCUGAACUCAUAGCCUAUAACAUUUCCCAGUGAAUUAUCUUUAAUGUUGUUUCAUUGUUAUGAACAUUUCAGGUGUUUUGUUUCCCUAACCAUAUUAUCAUAAAACUGUUAAGCUCAAUUCCUUAUAUUUUACAGUUUGCUUUCUUUUUUCAAAGCACAGUGCAGUGUAUAACAUGGUUAUACAUAGAACAUGCUAAACUAAUUUUUUGUGUGAACAAAUAAUUUUUCCCACUGAAGAAUUUGUACCCAAACAUAUAGUUUACCCCUUGAUAUUUUACCUACUCACUUUACAAAUGGUUCAUGCAAUGCAGUUCAUGGACUACAACAUAUUGAGAUGGUAAUCAAAUUUUUCUUAUAUAGGGGCUCCAACUAGGAGGGCUGAUCAGAUUUAACUAUUUCAUUUGGCAGGUGAGGAAACAGGAAAAUUUAUUCAGAUAACUUGAACUUACUGAAGAUAAGAAAGGAAAAUUAUAGCAAUACCCUGAACAAAAGCCACACAAAACUUAAGCAGGUUAGCUGCAAUAUUCAGAUACAGUCCACAUUGAUUGCUAAUCCUGUGGUGCAGAGGCUCCAAGCAGAACUGGAAAUGGCUGCCAAUCCCAUCCCAGCCCUUCCUCCAUAAAGAGCGGUUCAUAUGCUCUCAAGUUCCUCCACCACACCUGGUCUCUGCUCCUGAGAACAAAGAUGUGGCAGCUUUUAAAGGAGACCCUGAGGAUGACAGAAGUUACCAGGACCUUGGGUGAAUGAUGACUGGGUGAGAAGGGAGAAAAUAAUGCUUCAGAUUCAGAAUCAUUCACCAACUGCUAAGAUAGGUAUUGUGAAUAUUGCUGCAUAAAAGAUAAUGGAAUAGCUCUAAAAAUUACUGUCCAUAAGACUUUUGGAGUCUCUAUAGGUGGUCUCCAUUAGUUAAUGGUGUAAUUUUGGUGUGGCUGCCCUACCUCUAGGAGAAUGAUUAAAUGGAGUUUUGAUAAUAGCAUGUAGAAAUAAGAAUUGGCAUCAUUUUGUUCACUCCAACUUACCACGCACUCACAUUUAAGGCUUCUUGGUAAGCUACAAUGAAUACAUCAACAUUAUGAGAAAUGAAGAUGACACUAUAAUGUAAUUACAUUUAAUUUAUGGAAUGCAGAAUAAUAACAUCCUGUAUACUAAGACAAGUAAGAGAAAGGGAAAAUCUAAUCUGGUUUGCUAAGCCUCUUUCCUUUCCACCUCUUUAGCAUUAACCAAGGCUCACUGUAACAUGUGUUAUAAGGAGAUGAAUUCACUGGUGUGAUUCUUUGUUAUUUUAUCUUCACCCAGAAAUGUAAUUAAGCAGCAAAUCAUAUUACUUUGAUUACAGAGACAAAGUAUGUCAGAAAUGGCAUUAUUACUGCAAAAUUAUAGAAAACACAGACUCCAGUCCCACUUCUAAUUUAUCACAAUAGUGAUAAAAGGUCUAACUGCCCCUAAACACUGAAAUUGGAUGAGAGUUAUCAGCAUUUUGUUAUUUAUAAGCAGAAGUGUUUUUUUUCACCCUUGUGGAAUUAAUUAUAUAAUUUAUGAUGUAUCUUCACUGCUUUUGAUGGUAGUAGUAUAUAUAACAGUAACAUUAUUUGCUGUUCUGCUUGGAAGAACUUUUCUCAAGCUCUUAUAGGCCUAUGAAUUCACAGGAUAAACUUACAAAUCACACAAGUAGUGUUUCUGAUUAAGAAAAUGAGGUACAAGUUCAAAGGUUAUGCAGUUCAAGUUUAUGAAGCAUUUCUCAGGAAUAAAAAAAAAACCAAAAACACCACCACCCACUUAAUUUCACAUGCCUCCCCACCCUGAGCCUCUGGGACAUAGUAAAAUCACUGGGGUAUACUCUCUUACUCUUAUGAGAUCUGCUAUGAGAUGUGCCCUUUUUGUUCUUAUUCAAGAUAGCCCCAGACACCAACAUCUGCCUGGAAGUGGCUUCAAAGUAUACUUAACUUCUUGUAUACUACUUUCUCCUCUGCCAGCCCACCCAGGGGGCACCUCAAAUGCCUCCCAUGCUCAGAGCUUUGGAAACAAACCACAGACUCCAGCAGUGACCCUCUGAUCAGCUGAGGGGACUUUAUCACCUGAUAUUUUCCUUUUAGGUGCUUUUAUCUUGUUAAAGCAACCAGGAUCAUUUUAUGAGGCCAUUCUCAGCUCACAUAUUGUUGUCCCAGGGGAGGUCUCUUUCCUCUUUUAAGACUUCCUAAUGUCAUUCUUCCUUCUCAACCCUUGCCCUAGCACUUCAGUACAGUGAUCUGAUUCUUCCAGGAUCUUUGUGGCAGGAGAGAAAAGGGAAGAACCUUUCUUUUUUAGGGUAAGAGCAAGAAGAAAGGCUCAGAGCUAGGAGUGACAUCGAGGCUGACAAUGUCGAAUUUUACUCUAGCCCUGUGAUUCUGGAAAACAGCAAAUGUUAAAGAAUUCCCCCUUCCUUUGUGUUCUAGGAAAUAGUGAACUGCAAAAAAUCACCCCUCUCCAUCUGACUUAAAUAGGACUCACAGAUGUCCCCUCCUUUCCCUAUGACAAGCCCAGAGGCAGACUCUCCAAAUUUCCAUUCUUCGCCUCAUAAAUGAUUAGCUGAAUUACUACUUGUUCCCAUUGGUUAAUCAGAAUAAUACUUGCUACCCAAAUUUGUUAAAUUCCUCUCUUUCUCCUGGUCCCUGAACUUUGACAUAUGCUCAGCCCCAGCCAGCACACAACCCCUCCUUAAAGUUCCCUGCCAACUAUAGGGUGGCCUUGGGGUAAAACAUUUCUGAUCUACUGUAGUCUGUCAGGCUGUCCUCUGUCCCACUUUCCCAAACCUGGUUCCUUCUAGCCUUGUUUGGUCCUCUCUAUAGAAAAAAACUGCUGCCUAAUGUUUGAGAUACUUCCAGAUCUCAUGCUCAGAAUGUUCUACCCAUUACAACAGUCUGUUUCUGCCAUCUUACCCUUUAUUGGUAUCUCAGGCCAAAUUAAAUGCCUAGACAUUUCUUUCCCAAAAAAUCAGUCUCUAUUUUUCUCUCUUUCACACACACACACACACACACACACACACACACACACACCCCUGUAGAAAGACUCCAGUAUGGCUAUUUACCUUUCUCUAAUAAGAGAACAGGUGUGAUGAUUGGUGAACUACUGAUAAGUAGUUUACCAUUGAAAAGCAAAGUUUUCUUUAUAUAUGAAUUUCUAUCUGCCUUUGGUCUUCACUCAAAUUGCUCGGCAAUCUCCAACCCCUUAUUGAGAUGUAGGUUUUAUAUAGACGUGUCUUUCAAAAGCCAUUGGUAAAGCCAGUCAGUUUAACUCAGAGGAAAAACAAGCUUAGAAAAAUGUAAGCAAUCCUUGUUUUAGUUGCUUCUUUUCUCUCUCAGUAAACAAAGCAUGCAUUUGCUAAAAAAAACCAAACUGCCAUAUUUGACUGAAUAAUUUAUGAUAAUUUUAUAUAGAAUAAGCAAUGCUUAUUCUAAAAUGGUAUUGUUGUGGGGUUUUUUUUUCAUUGUUGUUGUUAUUGUUCUUAUGGAGGAAGGUUCAUUCAUGUGCUUUAAGUUAAAAAAGUAUUUGUUUUCUUUAGCACACAUUACUAGCUAUGGCCUAUAUAGACUUUCAAGGUUUAAGUCUUUUCAAAUGAAAUUUGAAGGACCACUAUUCUUUCCUAUCAGAGUAAAACACAUUCAAAAUCCUAAUAAAUCUAUUUCUUUAAUAUGCCACUUAAAAUAUAAUAGUGCAAACAAAAACACAUAAUGGGUUCCUCUUGAGAGAAAGGAAAAUGUAUUCACUUCUGAUGAAAGAUCGUUUGAUAAUUCACUGUUGGCUUCACCACUUGAUUUAUAUCAUCUUCUCAUGUUAAUUUGUUUUUAAUUUUUUUCCUGCAUUCUAAGGUUUUUCUCAUUUCAGUGACAUAUACGUGACGGAUGAGGUUGAUGAACUACAAAAGUAAAGAUUGUAACUCAGAGGAGAAACUUAAAUUAUUCUGCAGUCCCAUAGAAUCUGUGCAAGAAACCGAGAAGUCUGGAUUUUCAAGGGCUUGAUCAUAGUAUUUUCAAAACAAGUGAUGAAAUCAACAACAGAAAAACAUUAAAACUGAGUAUAUUUCUUUAGCCGAUACUAAAUGACUCCCUGGAGUGUAUUUUUUCCAAAUCUUCAGCCAAUUUAAUUGUAUAUUCCAGAAGUGAUGGUGAAGUUAUAGAAGUGCUAUAAAAUCCAUUCUUUAUUAUAGAUAUUUAAUUUCAAAAUGUAUUCCUUUUAUAAACUUGAUUUUAAUCUAGGAAAAAGUAAAUAACUUAUUUAACUGUCUUCAGUUAAGGAGGGAAGCAGAAUAGAUGACAGUGCCUCAAGGUGAAACUCAUUGUUUUUAAAAAUAAUGCCUAAUGCCUUUACAAGUAUGGCCCAUGUACAUUCAUAUGGAAGCUCAACUACUUCAUUCCUAUUCUGUUUUCCACCAGUCAAGUUAGAAACUACUUAUUGUAUCAUUUUUAUUUAUUCUGUCUCAGUAAUGGGAAAUAUGUUUUGGUAAUCUUUUUUUAUCCAUGAUUAGAUUGCAUUAAUGUAUUUCAUGUAUUUUCUCAAUUGACCUUUCUUUUUUGUUGUUGUUGUUUUUGAGACAGUCUC
Non-coding RNA from Microcebus murinus (gray mouse lemur), 5022 nucleotides. The record is from RefSeq and is a predicted model, not a curated record. NCBI's taxonomy places the organism in Eukaryota, Metazoa, Chordata, Mammalia, Primates, Cheirogaleidae.